RNAcentral lists this ribosomal RNA (475 nucleotides) under uncultured organism. Its description in RNAcentral is "partial 16S ribosomal RNA". It matches the Rfam family "Bacterial small subunit ribosomal RNA", at positions 329 to 800 of the family's 1533-position model. The record is from RNAcentral.
ACGUACACUCCUGCGGGAGGCAGCAGUGAGGAAUAUUGGACAAUGGGUGGAAGCCUGAUCCAGCCAUCCCGCGUGCAGGAAGACGGCCCUAUGGGUUGUAAACUGCUUUUAUCUGGGGAUAAACCUACUUACGUGUAAGUAGCUGAAGGUACCAGAAGAAUAAGCACCGGCUAACUCCGUGCCAGCAGCCGCGGUAAUACGGAGGGUGCAAGCGUUAUCCGGAUUUAUUGGGUUUAAAGGGUCCGUAGGCGGACUGAUAAGUCAGUGGUGAAAUCCGACAGCUUAACUGUCGAACUGCCAUUGAUACUGUUAGUCUUGAGUAAGGUUGAAGUGGCUGGAAUAAGUAGUGUAGCGGUGAAAUGCAUAGAUAUUACUUAGAACACCAAUUGCGAAGGCAGGUCACUAAGUCUUAACUGACGCUGAUGGACGAAAGCGUGGGGAGCGAACAGGAUUAGAAACCCCAGUAGUCCCAUGA